GCACCCAUAGCCAAGCUGGUUAAGGCGGAAGUCUGCAACACUUUGAUCGGUAGUUCAAAUCUACCUGGGUGCUCCA
RNAcentral lists this transfer RNA (76 nucleotides) under Caudoviricetes sp. RNAcentral's name for it is "tRNA-Cys". It matches the Rfam family "tRNA". Rfam says of the family: Transfer RNA (tRNA) molecules are approximately 80 nucleotides in length. Their secondary structure includes four short double-helical elements and three loops (D, anti-codon, and T loops). Further hydrogen bonds mediate the characteristic L-shaped molecular structure. tRNAs have two regions of fundamental functional importance: the anti-codon, which is responsible for specific mRNA codon recognition, and the 3' end, to which the tRNAs corresponding amino acid is attached (by aminoacyl-tRNA synthetases). tRNAs cope with the degeneracy of the genetic code in two manners: having more than one tRNA (with a specific anti-codon) for a particular amino acid; and 'wobble' base-pairing, i.e. permitting non-standard base-pairing at the 3rd anti-codon position. Lineage: Duplodnaviria; Heunggongvirae; Uroviricota; Caudoviricetes. The record is from RNAcentral.